This 84-nucleotide small RNA is filed under the name Flavobacterium sp. 1. RNAcentral describes it as "Flavo-1 RNA". It matches the Rfam family "Flavo-1 RNA". Lineage: Bacteria; Pseudomonadati; Bacteroidota; Flavobacteriia; Flavobacteriales; Flavobacteriaceae. The record is from RNAcentral.
CCCCAGCCCUGAUGGAAGGGAAAAUCCUUUUUAUCUCGUCUUUUUCGACGAGAUAAAAAGAUUGGAAUGACAGCAGGAAAUAGC